Molecule: ribosomal RNA, 884 nt
Filed under: Vibrio alginolyticus
Lineage: Bacteria; Pseudomonadati; Pseudomonadota; Gammaproteobacteria; Vibrionales; Vibrionaceae
Description: partial 23S ribosomal RNA
Rfam family: Bacterial large subunit ribosomal RNA
Source: RNAcentral
UAAUGGGUCAGCGACUUAUAUUCAGUGGCAAGGUUAACCAUCUAGGGGAGCCGUAGGGAAACCGAGUCUUAACUGGGCGUUCAGUCUCUGGAUAUAGACCCGAAACCAGGUGAUCUAGCCAUGGGCAGGUUGAAGGUUGAGUAACAUCAACUGGAGGACCGAACCGACUAAUGUUGAAAAAUUAGCGGAUGACUUGUGGCUAGGGGUGAAAGGCCAAUCAAACCUGGAGAUAGCUGGUUCUCCCCGAAAGCUAUUUAGGUAGCGCCUCGGACGAAUACUACUGGGGGUAGAGCACUGUUAAGGCUAGGGGGUCAUCCCGACUUACCAACCCUUUGCAAACUCCGAAUACCAGUAAGUACUAUCCGGGAGACACACGGCGGGUGCUAACGUCCGUCGUGGAGAGGGAAACAACCCAGACCGCCAGCUAAGGUCCCAAAUUACUACUAAGUGGGAAACGAUGUGGGAAGGCUCAGACAGCCAGGAUGUUGGCUUAGAAGCAGCCAUCAUUUAAAGAAAGCGUAAUAGCUCACUGGUCGAGUCGGCCUGCGCGGAAGAUGUAACGGGGCUAAGUAGUAAACCGAAGCUGCGGCAAUGCACUUUAGUGCAUUGGGUAGGGGAGCGUUCUGUAAGCGGUUGAAGGUGUGUGGUAACGCAUGCUGGACGUAUCAGAAGUGCGAAUGCUGACAUGAGUAACGAUAAAGGGGGUGAAAAACCUCCUCGCCGGAAGACCAAGGGUUCCUGUCCAACGUUAAUCGGGGCAGGGUAAGUCGACCCCUAAGGCGAGGCCGAAAGGCGUAGUCGAUGGGAAACGGGUUAAUAUUCCCGUACUUCUUACAAUUGCGAUGGGGGGACGGAGAAGGCUAGGUGGGCCUGGCGACGGUUGU